GACGAACGCUGGCGGCGUGCUUAACACAUGCAAGUCGAACGGAAAGGCCCUGCUUUUGUGGGGUGCUCGAGUGGCGAACGGGUGAGUAACACGUGAGUAACCUGCCCUUGACUUUGGGAUAACUUCAGGAAACUGGGGCUAAUACCGGAUAGGAGCUCCUGCUGCAUGGUGGGGGUUGGAAAGUUUCGGCGGUUGGGGAUGGACUCGCGGCUUAUCGGCUUGUUGGUGGGGUAGUGGCUUACCAAGGCUUUGACGGGUAGCCGGCCUGAGAGGGUGACCGGCCACAUUGGGACUGAGAUACGGCCCAGACUCCUACGGGAGGCAGCAGUGGGGAAUAUUGCACAAUGGGCGGAAGCCUGAUGCAGCAACGCCGCAUGCGGGAUGACGGCCUUCGGGUUGUAAACCGCUUUCGCCUGUGACGAAGCGUGAGUGACGGUAAUGGGUAAAGAAGCACCGGCUAACUACGUG
Molecule: ribosomal RNA, 468 nt
Filed under: uncultured bacterium
Lineage: Bacteria
Description: partial 16S ribosomal RNA
Rfam family: Bacterial small subunit ribosomal RNA
Source: RNAcentral